This is a small nucleolar RNA of Meriones unguiculatus (Mongolian gerbil), 130 nucleotides long. The record is from Ensembl. Lineage: Eukaryota; Metazoa; Chordata; Mammalia; Rodentia; Muridae.
CCUGCCUAUAGAGGCAUUGCAGGUGUUGCUGCUGUGUCAUGUGUACAUCAUUGGAUGGCGGAGAGGAGCGAGGCUAUGUCUAUGCUCAGUGUUCAGAGCUCAGAACAGAAACUCAUAAUACCAUUCCUUA